AGCCGAAACGCCUGGCUUAAGCAGGCGUCGCGAGGAAAUUGGUUACCUCGCCUGAAGAUGGCAGCCAACA
RNAcentral lists this non-coding RNA (70 nucleotides) under Paenibacillus sp. FSL A5-0031. Lineage: Bacteria; Bacillati; Bacillota; Bacilli; Caryophanales; Paenibacillaceae. The record is from RNAcentral.